UCGUAGUGUUGAACUUAACCAAUAUGAUGUUCUUUCUUUCUUUCUAAUCAGAGAUCAGUUUUUCAAAUUAAUUUCAACUGUUUAUACUUAACUGCUUUUACCAACUUUCUGAAUCAACAAUUGCCCAUGCGACUAUUGAAUAUAAUUGUCAGAAGAACUUUUAGAUGUUAGAAACGAUUCUAUUUUAAAGACUCUGCAGGUUAUAUAUUGAUUUACGAAAACGAUUCCAUGCGAGGAAAAGAUUCUGUGUAUAAAUGUUAUCCAUUACAUUCCAAGAGUGUAUAAAAGUGUGAGAACGAAUUUCAAAUUAACGAAUUAUUUUGUAAGAGAGAUGAGAAGGAAUGGAGAUCGAAUACGCUUCGUGUCAGAAUGUCGUCGCUAUCAAUGUUCUGUUUAUCUUUCAAAUGACUAUAAAUCAUGGCGUUGACGGAUCGUUGGAAAAAAAUAAAAACAAAACAAAACGAAAUGAGCAGUAAAUGGAGUCAAGAUGCACUCGCAUACAAUUCUCUUGUAAUUUUCAAGGGAAAAAAGAUAAAGAUAAAAAACGAAGAGAAAAAGAAAAAGGAAAAUAUAGGGAAAAAAAUGAGAUGUUAAAGAGCUCCAUGAUAAGAUUUAAAAUUUUCAGCGUAUAAGAAGUCAAUGAAAAAGGUCCGAUCAAUCAGUAGUUGUGAUGGAGCCGACCUAGUUAUGUCACUCCAAAUAAACCAAUCCUCCUACUUACCAUGUAUUAAUCUUGUAUUAACCUAUAUUUUUUCAAGAUUACAAAUAUUCGUGCAUUUUUCUUUUACAAAAGUAUACCCUAGGAAUUUAUAAUACUAGGAAUUUAUAGUACUAAUAGUACUAUUUCUUGACUAUUAAUAGUUUUUUUCAUAAUAUUUAGUAAAAAUUUUUCUCCCGUUAUUAUUGAGAUAAACAAAUCUUUAACGAUUUAUUGUACUUAUAGUUUCUGAAAUAAUAAUUUUUAGCUACAAGAAUACUAUUGAUAUAAUACAUUAGUAAAAUAAAAUACACUUUUAAAUACAAACAAUUUAGGUAAUAAAUUUAAUACAUAUCCAUAAUUAUAAUAUUAAAUUGUUUAAAGAAAAAUUAUAU
Long non-coding RNA from Vespa velutina, 1092 nucleotides. RefSeq lists it as uncharacterized. The transcript has 3 exons. The record is from RefSeq and is a predicted model, not a curated record. Lineage: Eukaryota; Metazoa; Arthropoda; Insecta; Hymenoptera; Vespidae.